GAUGAACGCUGGCGGCGUGCCUAAUACAUGCAAGUAGAACGCUGAAGGAGGAGCUUGCUCUUCUGGAUGAGUUGCGAACGGGUGAGUAACGCGUAGGUGACCUGCCUGGUAGCGGGGGAUAACUAUUGGAAACGAUAGCUAAUACCGCAUGACAACAGUUAUUGCAUGAUAACUGUUUAAAAGGGGCAACUGCUCCACUACCAGAUGGACCUGCGUUGUAUUAGCUAGUUGGUGAGGUAACGGCUCACCAAGGCGACGAUACAUAGCCGACCUGAGAGGGUGAUCGGCCACACUGGGACUGAGACACGGCCCAGACUCCUACGGGAGGCAGCAGUAGGGAAUCUUCGGCAAUGGACGGAAGUCUGACCGAGCAACGCCGCGGGAGGGAAGAAGGUUUUCGGAUCGUAAAGCUCUGUUGUAAGAGAAGAACGAGUGUGAGAGUGGAAAGUUCACACUGUGACGGUAUCUUACCAGAAAGGGACGGCUAACUACGUG
RNAcentral lists this ribosomal RNA (495 nucleotides) under uncultured bacterium. RNAcentral describes it as "partial 16S ribosomal RNA". It matches the Rfam family "Bacterial small subunit ribosomal RNA", at positions 28 to 507 of the family's 1533-position model. The record is from RNAcentral.